UACGUAGGGUGCGAGCGUUAAUCGGAAUUACUGGGCGUAAAGUGUGCGCAGGCGGCCGCGCAAGUCGAGUGUGAAGGCCCCGAGCUUAACUUGGGAAUUGCGCUCGAAACUACGUGGCUGGAGUGUGGCAGAGGAAGGUGGAAUUCCAGGUGUAGCGGUGAAAUGCGUAGAGAUCUGGAGGAACACCGAUGGCGAAGGCAGCCUUCUGGGCCAACACUGACGCUCAUGCACGAAAGCGUGGGGAGCAAACAGG
Molecule: ribosomal RNA, 253 nt
Filed under: uncultured bacterium
Lineage: Bacteria
Description: partial 16S ribosomal RNA
Rfam family: Bacterial small subunit ribosomal RNA
Source: RNAcentral